Long non-coding RNA from Micropterus dolomieu (smallmouth bass), 946 nucleotides. RefSeq lists it as uncharacterized. The record is from RefSeq and is a predicted model, not a curated record. NCBI's taxonomy places the organism in Eukaryota, Metazoa, Chordata, Actinopteri, Centrarchiformes, Centrarchidae. The transcript is spliced from 3 exons.
CUGAAAAAAAAAAAAAAAAAAAAAAAUCUCUUCUGAUGUCGAAGGCUAAAAGGCUACAGCUAGCUACGGACAGCUAACGUUAAACGCCAGAUAGAAAAGUAAGAUUUGGCGCAGAUGAAGCGAACGAACCGACCAGCUGAAUUAGGAGGUGAAACAAAGGCUUUUCCCAGCUUUGUUUACCCGCUGCCAGCUGCGCGCGAGCUGGUGAAAACGCAGCUACCGUCGUUGUCCCUCCUAACGGUCGGAUUUGGGAUUCAGACAUGAAGAAGUUCAACGGACGCACGCAGCGGUUUAACCGACACCGGCUUCACGUCGGUUGUCAUGACACCUGUCUGCGUGGUUACCUGCCCCGAUGCUCGCGCAGACUGAUGUCGCUCUUUGUCCGAUCCACAGACAAUGCGGUCGCGCGGCUCGGCUCGGCUCUCGGGGUGUCACGUGUGAGCUUCUGUUUACAAGCAGUCAAGACGUGCACGAGGAGCAUAAACAUCUGCACGUGGGAAAAUCCAUGACGCAAACACGCACAUAAGGUGCGUAACGGCUGGGUGCUGUACGGCAAGCCGACUGGGACAAAAGACUGGACCACACACAACUGAUGCCCAAUAAGAUGCCCAGGUAAUGGCCCUGCUUGAUCUCCCAGAAGCCCCAGUUAGACCACGGAAGGCCAUGACUGGACCAACAGCAGCCUCAACAGGACCCCUGCAGCUCUUCUUGGACCACAGAAGUCCCCAAUUGCCCAGAAAGGACCUUCAGCAAAACAUGCGAGCUCAUAGCAGCAAUCCCAGCACCAGGGGAAAGGAUCCCACUCCCCAGAAGAACCUUCAGCAACCUCACCCUUUUGUCUUGAGAAAUCACAUCAGGCUUUGCUGUAAACAUAUUUUAAAAGUAAUAAAAAAGAAGAAACACAUUUUUCACUUGAAAUCAGUUAAAGGUUCAGUGUGUAUGUUUU